UUGAAUUUGUAACGGUCGAAAAAUCUUGAUGUGAUUGUGAAAAUUUGAAAUUUAUAGGUCCCCGUUGGAUGAAAGGAUAAAGUUUUCUGGAAAAGGACAAAAGUAAGAGCCUUUUAUGGGAGAAGGAUAUGAGACAAAGCUGUUGCAGUUUGAAUUAUCUUACAUAAUGAUGGAAAACAUCUUCCAGGAGAACUAGUUGGGAUAUGCUACGAUCAGUAUUGCCUUCAAAAAAAAACAAAAAUUAUCUUACAUACUGAUAUAAAGAAAAUAGGCCUUUUUGGUACGACUUCAAAUUUUCAUGUAUACUUUCUAUGCAGUCUGUCGGAUCAGAUUACUUAAAAACACGGAAAUUGAUUACAGCCGUCCAUCUGAUCUCUUACUCACAACAACCGAUAUUUCUUCCCAACGAGACGAAAACAAACUCUAUUGUGUUCUUCUCCCUAACAUCCGUCACAUUUGAAAAUUCUCCUCACAGGCUACACAAUAAUGAAAAUAGAAAAAUUAGGUAUUAACGAAUCAACCGAUCACAAUCGAAGUUAAAUUUCUACUUCUCUUCACUUGGGUGGAUUCAGCUGAUUUGGAUUCACAACUUUGGAGUUUCUAAAGAUCCAGAAUUCAAGUAGGUUAUCAAGUAUCUCUCGCAGUUCAAGUGGUUAUAACAAUAGGGUGUGGCAACAUUUGCUAGAGCCCUAGGGUCAUAAAACAACUUCGGCCUCUAGCAUUAGCAGGUACACUGAUUGAAAGAGGCAAGAAGCGUCAAUCUAAAACUGUCCGAGAAUUACGGCACUGGAAAUAAAAGAAGCAAGAAGUGUCGUGAAUUCCACCUACAACAAAGACAACUUCAUCAACUACCGGGUUUCCUUUAUCAUAUUAGAAACAAUGUAAGAGCUUUAUCUUCAAUGCAACUUGGACGUCGUUGCCGGUUCAAGUGGCAGGCACAUUUGCGAGUCCGUCUUUAUUAAGAUGUGUGUUCGACUGUAUCAUCUGGACCGAGAACAUUGUAAACCAAGUAAAAAUUAUCCUCAUCACAAGUGCCUGGAGCUUUUGGCUGAAAUAACAGGCAGAUUGUGUGUGCGUUAUUGCAUCCGUUUUGGAUCGGACACCCACUAGCCGUCUGUUCAAGGGGCAGGCGCAUCGCGCGUGAGUGUUAUACUAGUAAAUAUAAUCAGUAUUUUUUUCUUUCAAAUACUAGUAUUUUUAUGGCAACUAGCAAAAAAUGCAUGCGCGAUGAGAGUGUCGGUCCUGUUCCAGUUACGAAUUUUUCACUCGACAAGUUUUCAAAUUAUUGGAAUCAGAUAAGCAAUACGUUUAUAGCUUGAACUUAUCUCUUAUCACGUGUAAUUUAGUGUGGUGAACUCAAUAUUUUUAGUUUAAAAAAACAUACAUGUCGAGUUUUAAGCGUCUAAUCAUCUAACAUAUAGUUAAAUACUAUGUUAUACUUUUCACUAUA
Molecule: long non-coding RNA, 1450 nt
Organism: Papaver somniferum (opium poppy)
Lineage: Eukaryota; Viridiplantae; Streptophyta; Magnoliopsida; Ranunculales; Papaveraceae
Exons: 2
Source: RefSeq, a predicted model, not a curated record